This is a non-coding RNA of Oryza sativa Japonica Group (Japanese rice), 198 nucleotides long. Lineage: Eukaryota; Viridiplantae; Streptophyta; Magnoliopsida; Poales; Poaceae. The record is from RefSeq and is a predicted model, not a curated record.
UCACCACCAGAGCUCUCUAGCUAGCUAAGCACAAGAAGCAUAAGCAACACAGGGAUUAAUUCAUCUCACUCAGUAAUUAAGCUAAUUAAAAUCUUGGACCAUGUCGGACAAGUGCGGCAACUGCGACUGCGCUGACAAGAGCCAGUGCGUGAAGAAAGGUACCAGCUAUGGCGUCGUCAUAGUUGAAGCCGAGAAGAG